UGCAACACCACACAGGUAGAAUAGCUGAAAUUUGUCAUUUAGUAUAGUUACGAUUAUUUAUUAAAUCUUUCUCAAUUUGAAUUAAAGUCGUGAUGCACAGCUAAUUGCAUAAUGGUCAGUGGAGCGAUUUCGUUGGCCACAACCUGUGAUUAGACCAAUUUGAGCUUUAAUCCACAGUAAUAGAGUUUGUUUUAGCCUGGGAAUAAAGGCAUAUUUAAUAGAAUAUGCUAAGAGGAUUACGUAUUUUGUUUUGGUUUAACAUUGUUUUGAAACGAUGUUUGGUUAAAAUGAAAUAAACAAUAAUAAUAUGAUUGUAAUGCACUACGGAAACUUUGUAAAAAAAAAAUCGUAAAAAUUUGUAUUUUUGUGCAAUGAUUAGUUGAACCUCUGUUUAUCUGAAAUAAUAUAAGUAAUAUGUUUUA
Long non-coding RNA from Plodia interpunctella (Indianmeal moth), 422 nucleotides. RefSeq lists it as uncharacterized. The transcript has 2 exons. The record is from RefSeq and is a predicted model, not a curated record. NCBI's taxonomy places the organism in Eukaryota, Metazoa, Arthropoda, Insecta, Lepidoptera, Pyralidae.